UACGGAGGAUGCAAGCGUUAUCCGGAUUUAUUGGGUUUAAAGGGUGCGCAGGUUGUUUGAUAAGUCAGUGGUGAAAGUCUGUCGCUUAACGGUAGGAUUGCCAUUGAUACUGUUAGACUUGAAUAUGGAUGAGGUAGGCGGAAUGUGUAGUGUAGCGGUGAAAUACAUAGAUAUUACACAGAACACCGAUUGCGAAGGCAGCUUACUAAUCCAUCAUUGACGCUGAGGCACGAAAGCGUGGGGAUCAAACAGGA
Molecule: ribosomal RNA, 254 nt
Filed under: uncultured prokaryote
Description: partial 16S ribosomal RNA
Rfam family: Bacterial small subunit ribosomal RNA
Source: RNAcentral